Molecule: long non-coding RNA, 322 nt
Filed under: Callithrix jacchus (white-tufted-ear marmoset)
Lineage: Eukaryota; Metazoa; Chordata; Mammalia; Primates; Cebidae
Description: lncRNA (ENSCJAG00000081624.1)
Source: RNAcentral
GAAAAUUCGUCUGAAAGUGUGGCGUCCUCUCGUUCUCUGAGCUUUCACUGGGAGCUACAAUCCCGAGCUGUUAGUGAUCAGCCAUCUUGGAUCUCUCUCCUUUUUUUUUUUUAAGACAGGUUCUUGCUCUGUCACCAAGAAGUGCAGUGGCAUGAUCAUAGCUCACUGUAACCGUGAACUCCUGGCCUCAAGCAAUCCUCCUGCCUCAGCCUCCCAAAGUGUUUAGAUUAUAGGCAUGGGUCAUUGUACCCGUCCUGUUCUUGAUUAUUAAACAAAGAAGUAAGCAAGCAAAUAAAGAAUAAAAGUUACUUCUGAAUAAGCA